Molecule: ribosomal RNA, 978 nt
Filed under: Talaromyces pinophilus
Lineage: Eukaryota; Fungi; Ascomycota; Eurotiomycetes; Eurotiales; Trichocomaceae
Description: partial 18S ribosomal RNA
Rfam family: 5.8S ribosomal RNA (bases 194-347)
Source: RNAcentral
UCGGAAGGAUCAUUACCGAGUGCGGGCCCUCGCGGCCCAACCUCCCACCCUUGUCUCUAUACACCUGUUGCUUUGGCGGGCCCACCGGGGCCACCUGGUCGCCGGGGGACGCACGUCUCCGGGCCCGCGCCCGCCGAAGCGCUCUGUGAACCCUGAUGAAGAUGGGCUGUCUGAGUACUGUGAAAAUUGUCAAAACUUUCAACAAUGGAUCUCUUGGUUCCGGCAUCGAUGAAGAACGCAGCGAAAUGCGAUAAGUAAUGUGAAUUGCAGAAUUCCGUGAAUCAUCGAAUCUUUGAACGCACAUUGCGCCCCCUGGCAUUCCGGGGGGCAUGCCUGUCCGAGCGUCAUUUCUGCCCUCAAGCACGGCUUGUGUGUUGGGUGUGGUCCCCCCGGGGACCUGCCCGAAAGGCAGCGGCGACGUCCGUCUGGUCCUCGAGCGUAUGGGGCUCUGUCACUCGCUCGGGAAGGACCUGCGGGGGUUGGUCACCACCAUGUUUUACCACGGUUGACCUCGGAUCAGGUAGGAGUUACCCGCUGAACUUAAGCAUAUCUAAACCCGGGAAGGAAAUCAUUACCGAGUGCGGGCCCUCGCGGCCCACCUCCCCCUUGUCUCUAUACACCUGUUGGCUUUGGCGGGGCCCCGGGGGGCCCUGGGUCGCCGGGGGAACGCAGUUCUCCGGGCCGCGCCCGCCGAAGCGCUCUGUGGAACCUGGAUGGAAGAAUGGGGCCUGUUCUGAAGUUACCUGGUGAAAAAAUUUGUUCAAAAACUUUUCAACAAAUGGGGAAUCUCUUUGGGGUUUCCGGGCCUUCGAAUUGAAAAGAAAAGGCAGGCGGAAAAAUGCCGGAAUAAAGGUUAAAUUGGUGGAAAAUUUUGGCAAGAAAAUUUUCGGUGGGAAAUUCAAUCGGAAAAUUCUUUUUGGAAAACGGCCCAAUUUUGGCGCCCCCCGGGGGGCAUUUUUCCCGGGGGGGGGGGGCCAU